UCCCCCUUAUAGAGGGCAGUUUCCUGUGAGAAAUUCAACACAGGAUGCAGGUUUCGCUCGUUCACGGACUUAACCGGACACCUCACGGCACGAGCUGACGACAACCGUGCAACACCUGUCUUAGAGCUCCUUGCGGCACUCCCCAGUUUCUUGGGGAUUCUCUAGAUGUCAAUCCCUGGUAAGGUUCUUCGCUUGCUGACGAAUUAAACCACAUGUUCCACCACUUGUGCGAGUCCCCGUCAAUUCCUUUGAGUUUUAGUCUUGCGACCGUACUCCCCAGGCGGCACACUUAACGCGUUAGCUUCGGCACAAGCAGGGUCGAUGCUGCUGAUGCCUAGUGUGCAUCGUUUACGGCGUGGACUAC
RNAcentral lists this unclassified non-coding RNA (364 nucleotides) under uncultured bacterium. Its description in RNAcentral is "contains 16S-23S intergenic spacer region". The record is from RNAcentral.